AGCAGCCGCGGUAAUUCCAGCUCCAAUAGCGUAUAUUAAAGUUGUUGCAGUUAAAAAGCUCGUAGUUGAAUUUCGGGAUCAGAAGGUCGGUCGUGCCAAUGGUAUGCACUGGCCUUUCUGAUUCCUCCCUCUUGAUGAGCCGUAAUGUCAUUAAUUUGGUGUUGCGGGGAAUCAGGACUGUUACUUUGAAAAAAUUAGAGUGUUUAAAGCAGGCAAGCGCUUGAAUACAUUAGCAUGGAAUAAUGAAAUAGGACGUUCGAUCCUAUUUUGUUGGUUUCUAGGAUUGACGUAAUGAUUAAUAGGGAUAGUUGGGGGCAUUAGUAUUCAAUUGUCAGAGGUGAAAUUCUUGGAUUUAUUGAAGACUAACUACUGCGAAAGCAUUUGCCAAGGAUGUUUUCAUUAAUCAAGAACGAAAGUUAGGGGAUCGAAGACGAUCAGAUACCGUCGUAGUCUUAACCAUAAACUAUGCCGACUAGGGAUCGGAUGAUGUUAAUUUUUAAUGACUCAUUC
This 510-nucleotide ribosomal RNA is filed under the name uncultured Glomus. RNAcentral describes it as "SSU rRNA". It matches the Rfam family "Eukaryotic small subunit ribosomal RNA", at positions 569 to 1081 of the family's 1831-position model. Lineage: Eukaryota; Fungi; Glomeromycota; Glomeromycetes; Glomerales; Glomeraceae. The record is from RNAcentral.